GACAGAGGGUGCAAACGUUGCUCGGAAUUACUGGGCGUAAAGCGCGUGUAGGCGGACCACCAAGUCGGACGUGAAAGCCCUGAGCUCAACUCAGGAACUGCAUCCGAAACUGGCGGUCUGGAGUAGUGGAGAGGAAAGCAGAAUUCCUGGUGUAGAGGUGAAAUUCGUAGAUAUCAGGAGGAACACCGGUGGCGAAGGCGGCUUUCUGGACACUUACUGACGCUGAGACGCGAAAGCGUGGGGAGCGAACAGG
This 253-nucleotide ribosomal RNA is filed under the name uncultured bacterium. RNAcentral's name for it is "partial 16S ribosomal RNA". It matches the Rfam family "Bacterial small subunit ribosomal RNA", at positions 524 to 776 of the family's 1533-position model. The record is from RNAcentral.